GUACACUCCUACGGGAGGCAGCAGUGGGGAAUAUUGGACAAUGGGCGCAAGCCUGAUCCAGCCAUGCCGCGUGAGUGAUGAAGGCCCUAGGGUUGUAAAGCUCUUUCACCGGUGAAGAUAAUGACGGUAACCGGAGAAGAAGCCCCGGCUAACUUCGUGCCAGCAGCCGCGGUAAUACGAAGGGGGCUAGCGUUGUUCGGAUUUACUGGGCGUAAAGCGCACGUAGGCGGACUAUUAAGUCAGGGGUGAAAUCCCGGGGCUCAACCCCGGAACUGCCUUUGAUACUGGUAGUCUUGAGUUCGAGAGAGGGGAGUGGAAUUCCGAGUGUAGAGGUGAAAUUCGUAGAUAUUCGGAGGAACACCAGUGGCGAAGGCGGCUCACUGGCUCGAUACUGACGCUGAGGUGCGAAAGCGUGGGGAGCAAACAGGAUUAGAAACCCUUGUAGUCCCAUGAU
Molecule: ribosomal RNA, 454 nt
Filed under: uncultured organism
Description: partial 16S ribosomal RNA
Rfam family: Bacterial small subunit ribosomal RNA
Source: RNAcentral